GGACUUGCGAUAGCUCAGUCAGUAGAAAGUUGGAUUCAUAAUCCAAGGGUUAUGGGUUCAAUGCCCACCCAACCAAGCCCA
Molecule: non-coding RNA, 81 nt
Organism: Potamilus streckersoni
Lineage: Eukaryota; Metazoa; Mollusca; Bivalvia; Unionida; Unionidae
Source: the annotation of a GenBank genome assembly